This 300-nucleotide ribosomal RNA is filed under the name Klebsiella quasipneumoniae subsp. similipneumoniae. RNAcentral's name for it is "partial 23S ribosomal RNA". It matches the Rfam family "Bacterial large subunit ribosomal RNA", at positions 2064 to 2363 of the family's 2925-position model. The record is from RNAcentral. Lineage: Bacteria; Pseudomonadati; Pseudomonadota; Gammaproteobacteria; Enterobacterales; Enterobacteriaceae.
GUGUACCCGCGGCAAGACGGAAAGACCCCGUGAACCUUUACUAUAGCUUGACACUGAACAUUGAGCCUUGAUGUGUAGGAUAGGUGGGAGGCUUUGAAGCGUGGACGCCAGUCUGCGUGGAGCCGACCUUGAAAUACCACCCUUUAAUGUUUGAUGUUCUAACGUUGGCCCCUUACCGGGGUUGCGGACAGUGUCUGGUGGGUAGUUUGACUGGGGCGGUCUCCUCCCAAAGCGUAACGGAGGAGCACGAAGGUUAGCUAAUCCUGGUCGGACAUCAGGAGGUUAGUGCAAUGGCAUAAG